CCUACGGGAGGCAGCAGUGAGGAAUAUUGGUCAAUGGUCGGGAGACUGAACCAGCCAAGCCGCGUGAGGGAGGAAGGUACAGAGUAUCGUAAACCUCUGUUGUCAGGGAACAAAGGCGGGGACGUGUGCCCCGAUGAGUGUACCCGAAGAAAAAGCAUCGGCUAACGCCGUACCAGCAGCCGCGGUAAUACAGGGGAUGCGAGCGUUAUCCGGAUUUGUUGGGUUUACGGGGUGCGCAGGUGGUCUGUUAAGUCAGCGGGCAACGCUCGGAGCUCAACCCCUGCCCGCCGUUGAAACUGGCAGUCUCGAGUUGGAGAGAGGGAUGCGGAAUGCGCGGUGUAGCAGUGAAAUGCAUAGAUAUCGCGCAGAACUCCGAUUGCGAAGGCAG
Molecule: ribosomal RNA, 388 nt
Filed under: uncultured bacterium
Lineage: Bacteria
Description: partial 16S ribosomal RNA
Rfam family: Bacterial small subunit ribosomal RNA
Source: RNAcentral